Sus scrofa (pig) is the source of this 465-nucleotide non-coding RNA. Lineage: Eukaryota; Metazoa; Chordata; Mammalia; Artiodactyla; Suidae. The record is from RefSeq and is a predicted model, not a curated record.
GGCGGGCGGGCGCAGCGCUGGUCCCCGAGAUCCGCGGGGGAGGGGCCGGCGGCCGGGUGCGGCCGUGGCCUCCUCCGGGUCUGGGGGCGGCGGGGGUCGCCCCGAAGGCCCGGCAGUUGCAUCUCCUCACCCCGCGGUCCGCACUUUCCUUGGGGGGCUGGAGGAGAAGCUCGUCGCUCUGUUCUGUUUGCUCAGAUUUCAUUCACGUCGCCAACUCUGGGGCCCUCGGGUUCUCCGACUUCCUAAUGGUAAAUUUUGUGGGAGCAGAUCAGGGUAAUUGCAAGAAGACAGAUCCUGGCUCAGUAUGAAGAAAUUUCCAACUCUGCCAACUCUAUGGGGCUGAGCACAAAAAGCUGAAGAGGAGGAAACUAAAGUUCAAGCCCAGAGGCUCAGCCAUCACAUCGGUUUUCUUUCCAUAAUACUAUACUUAUGUCUAAAAUAAAUCUAUUGGAAUUUAGCCCAGAA